UUCAGUGCGGUGAAAAAAAAAAAGCCAAGCAAAACCCUUCUCCACUAACUUAUAAUUUUAAGAGAAGUAAAUAUAAUGAGGGAAGGAGAAAGAGAAAAACGUGAGGGAAAAAGAAAGCGUGGUGACGGUGAUGGCGGCACGAUGACGACGCGUACACCAACGACAACAACGCUCGAGCCCAAUUUUUUGUUUCUUGCCCCUAUUCUACUCAAAAUAGGGAAAUUGUGAGAGAAGGGAAAGAAUGUGGCGGCGAUGACGAUUCUUACACUAACAAUGACAACACUCAAGCCAACAUCGACGACCGAUGAUAUGGCCAAGAGAGGUGCCUCCGACAUUGUAGUGGUCAAAUUAGCGCACUCGACGGAGGUUCAUGAUAGGACUAGAAAUUGAAGGGAAGAGGGGAAGAGAUGAGGGAGAAAGGAAGAAGAAUAAUGGAGGGAGAUGCUGCCACCGAAAAUCGUCUCCGACGGCUGCAAAUGGCGUAACACAGUGGCGCCAAAGCUUUCUUUUCCUUUUUUUUUUAUCUUGUUUUAUUUUCUGUCUUCCAGAGAGAUUAUUUAUUUCUUUAUUUUCUAUUUGAUGUAUAGGUACAUUUGUGUACUAGACAACUAAGUAUAUAUCAAAGAAAUUAAAUAAUAAAGGAG
Molecule: long non-coding RNA, 644 nt
Filed under: Glycine max (soybean)
Lineage: Eukaryota; Viridiplantae; Streptophyta; Magnoliopsida; Fabales; Fabaceae
Description: long non-coding RNA (GMAX_LNC002806)
Source: RNAcentral